ACUCAAAUGAAUUGACGGGGGCCCGCACAAGCGGUGGAGCAUGUGGUUUAAUUCGACGCUACGCGAAGAACCUUACCUGGGCUCGAACGACUGGUAGUAGUCCGUAUGAAAGUAUGGGCGACCCGCAAGGGAGCCAGCCGAGGUGCUGCAUGGUUGUCGUCAGCUCGUGUCGUGAGAUGUUGGGUUAAGUCCCGCAACGAGCGCAACCCCUAUCCUGUGUUGCUACCCGCAAGGGAGGACUCUCAGGAGACUGCCGCGGAUAACGUGGAGGAAGGUGGGGCCGACGUCAAAUCAUCAUGGCCUUUAUGUCCAGGGCCACACACGUGCUACAAUGGCGCGUACAACGGGAUGCAAGACCGCAAGGUGGAGCAAAUCCCUCAAAGCGCGCCUCAGUUCAGAUUGUGGGCUGCAAUUCGCCCACAUGAAGGCGGAAUCGCUAGUAAUCGCAGAUCAGCAGGCUGCGGUGAAUACGUUCCCGGGCCUUGUACACACCGCCCGU
This 499-nucleotide ribosomal RNA is filed under the name uncultured bacterium. Its description in RNAcentral is "partial 16S ribosomal RNA". It matches the Rfam family "Bacterial small subunit ribosomal RNA", at positions 899 to 1397 of the family's 1533-position model. The record is from RNAcentral.